Molecule: ribosomal RNA, 468 nt
Filed under: uncultured bacterium
Lineage: Bacteria
Description: partial 16S ribosomal RNA
Rfam family: Bacterial small subunit ribosomal RNA
Source: RNAcentral
GACGAACGCUGGCGGCGUGCUUAACGCAUGCAAGUCGAACGGAAAAGCCCUGCGUUUGUGGUGUGCUCGAGUGGCGAACGGGUGAGUAACACGUGAGUAACCUACCCUUGACUUUGGGAUAACUUCACGAAACUGGGGCUAAUACCAUAUCGGAGCCGCCGCUGGAUUGAAGGGGGUGGAAAGUUUCGGCUGGUGUGGCUGGACGCGCGGCUUACCGGCUUGUUAGUGGGGUAGGUGCAUACCAAGGAUUUGACGGGUAGGCGGCCUGAGAGCGUGACCGGCCACAUUGGUCCUGAGAUACGGACCAGAGGCCUACGGUAGGCAGUAGGGGGGAAUAUUGCACAAUGGGACCAAGCCUGAUGCAGCAACGUCGGGUUCGGGAUGACGGUCUUUGGGUUGUAAAACGCUUUAGCUUGUUACGAAGCGUGAGUGACGGUAACGGAUAAAGAAGCACCGGCUAACUACGUG